This 560-nucleotide long non-coding RNA is filed under the name Equus asinus (donkey). Its description in RNAcentral is "lncRNA (ENSEASG00005035969.1)". Lineage: Eukaryota; Metazoa; Chordata; Mammalia; Perissodactyla; Equidae. The record is from RNAcentral.
GAGGGAGUAAGAGAGGGGUAGCAGGAGUGGAGCCCAGGGAGUGGCUUACCAUAAGACUAGAGGUCUACCCGUGAUCUCUUCACUCAGGGCCAGCCCACCCACAGAGCACCUAUUCAUUUCUAUAUUCUUGUCUCCCCUUGAAUCUCUGAACUGACCCCAAGUCCAAGGCUUCCAGUAAGGUCCUUCCUGGCUAUGCAGUUUGUGUGAGGGGAAGGUUAGCCCUGAGCUAACUACUGCUAAUCCUCCUCCUUUUGCUGAGGAAGACUGGCAAUGAGCUAUCAUGGUCAUCUUCCUCUACUUUAUACCUGGGACGCCUAACACAGCAUGUCUUUUGCCAAGCUGUGCCAUGUCCGCACCCGGCAUCCAAACCAACGAACCCUGGGCCGCCGAGGAGCGGAACGUGCGAACUUAACCGCUACGCCACCGGUCUGGCCCCUUGAUUUUAUUCUGACUUCCAUUCUCUGUGAUCUGAAAUGAAUCAUGUUCAGAAUGCAAAUUAAUUUACUUUAAACAUUCUCAUCUUGGUUUUAUUUCAAAAAUAGAAUAACUUGAUUAAAGAG